RNAcentral lists this ribosomal RNA (503 nucleotides) under uncultured bacterium. Its description in RNAcentral is "partial 16S ribosomal RNA". It matches the Rfam family "Bacterial small subunit ribosomal RNA", at positions 30 to 523 of the family's 1533-position model. The record is from RNAcentral.
AUUGAACGCUGGCGGCAGGCUUAACACAUGCAAGUCGAGCGGAGUGAUGGUGCUUGCACUAUCACUUAGCGGCGGACGGGUGAGUAAUGCUUAGGAAUCUGCCUAUUAGUGGGGGACAACAUCUCGAAAGGGAUGCUAAUACCGCAUACGUCCUACGGGAGAGAGCAGGGGAUCACUUGUGACCUUGCGCUAAUAGAUGAGCCUAAGUCGGAUUAGCUAGUUGGUGGGGUAAAGGCCUACCAAGGCGACGAUCUGUAGCGGGUCUGAGAGGAUGGUACGCCACACUGGGACUGAGACACGGCCCAGACUCCUACGGGAGGCGGCAGUGGGGAAUAUUGGACAAGGGGGGGAACCCUGAUCCAGCCAUGCCGCGUGUGUGAAGAAGGCCUUAUGGUUGUAAAGCACUUUAAGCGAGGAGGAGGCUCUUUUGGUUAAUACCCAAGAUGAGUGGACGUUACUCGCAGAAUAAGCACCGGCUAACUCUGUGCCAGCCGCCGCCGUAA